Molecule: ribosomal RNA, 768 nt
Filed under: Triticum aestivum (bread wheat)
Lineage: Eukaryota; Viridiplantae; Streptophyta; Magnoliopsida; Poales; Poaceae
Description: partial small subunit ribosomal RNA
Source: RNAcentral
AUGUCACUUUCCUCCGACUCGGAGCCCUUGCCACAGUUGAAAGUCCGAAGGGUAACCCGGAAAGUAAGCUUUUCACAUCCUUUAGCUUAUCAAGACCCUCAAUUUCUUUUGAAGCGACAGGUUCACGAAAGCCGGCGUCACACCCGGACCAACAAGGACACCGAUCUCUCCGCCGGGUUACCCGACGCAACAAGGAAGCGUCACACUGAGGAGACCUCCCCAUCUUCGGGUGACUCCAUGCAGUCAAAUCUGCCGACCUUCAAGACUGCGCCCGGUGCCCGGGCAAAGCUCACCAAAAGAGCAAAGAAAACCAGGUCAGCCGGAGUGCCGGACUUACCUGAACUGGAAGUGACGGCUCAAGAGCCGCCAGCUGCCUCCGCCCCCGAAGCCACCACUCCAAUGGACACGGCACCUGAGGCCUCUGCCCCGACUACCAAGACAACGACCGAAGCUGCGGUUAACCCGGAGGCCUCCGGCUCAGCUCCACCAGCAGACGACCCGGACGUGGUAAUCACCCGGACGGAGUUCGUUGAGCCCGGGAGACCGACCGUGUUGGCCAAAUGCUCCGCGAAGGGGGAGUUGCUGCAGCCCCACCGGGUGAACCUGGACCUCUCCGGCUACACCGACUUGAGUAUUGGAGAGCUCGUCUCUGGCUACAUCAGCCAAGUACACAAGAGCCGGGACGCCGAGGUCGCCAUGGUCAACCAGAUCCAACAAAAAUCUGAGGCUGUUGGCAAGAAACUAGAGGCGGACCUUGCGGAUCUCUAG